GGCACCGCGACGCAAUGUAGUUACAAACAUCUUCAUACUACACCAAUUAUAGUUAACUCUUCAUAUCUUUGUACCCUUUGGUCUUCCCGAUGCGUAGAGAAACACGAGUGAUAUGUUUGCUGUAAGAUUCCUUUUCUUAUCAACUUAUCGUCCAACACACAAACUCGGUUUCAGUACAAGUAUAUCCUGCUCAAAGCUGUAUGAUAUCCAAUACUCCCAAUCUCGAUCUGUUCAACCAAAUCCAUAAUGCUAACUCGUGCUUGUGUAUCCUCCAUAGCAAAACUGCCUGCUCCAAACCUUAAGGUCAUAUGUCUUUCCUUUGACAGUAAUAACACACAAUCUGAGAUUAGCAAAUCUCCAACUCAUGAACCUUCUUGGUUCCUGGGAUACAGCUCAUACGCCUACCCAAGGCAUUUAUCACCUGGUUGUCCUUACCAGAUAGUAUGCGAUAUCCAGACUAUAGCCUGUUACAAACUCAAUCCAACUGCACUGCCCAAGUACAAGUUUUUAAUAAAUGAAGAUAAAUUUCACAUUCUAAUAAUCCCAGAGAAUCUGAACUUCCUUCCCGUACAAUUACGAUCUCCAAAACGAUAACGCAAAUACCACUACAGCCUCUCUGGCGUGAUGCAUAUGAAUGACUUAAUCCUCAUACCUUAAUUUAAAUCCAAUCCAGUAUCUGACACAUCACA
Molecule: long non-coding RNA, 689 nt
Filed under: Brassica napus (rape)
Lineage: Eukaryota; Viridiplantae; Streptophyta; Magnoliopsida; Brassicales; Brassicaceae
Description: long non-coding RNA (BNAP_LNC025737)
Source: RNAcentral